CUAGGAAUGAAAGUAAGGUAUUUCU
Molecule: non-coding RNA, 25 nt
Filed under: Cricetulus griseus (Chinese hamster)
Lineage: Eukaryota; Metazoa; Chordata; Mammalia; Rodentia; Cricetidae
Source: RNAcentral